CAUUGCGCCCCUCUGGUAUUCCGGGGGGGGCAUGCCUGUCCCGAGCGUUCAUUGCAACCCCUCAAGCACGGCUUGUGUUAUGGGGCGGACGUCCCCUUAGCCGGUGGACGGGCCCCAAAUGCAGUGACCGAGGCCGUGAUUCCGGCGCCCGAGCGAAUGGGAUUUCCACCAGCUCUAGUGGCCCGGCCGGUCCUCAGGUCCCGACCAAUUUCAUUUCAAGGUUGACCUCGGAUCAGGUAGGGAUACCCGCUGAACUUAAGCAUAUCAAUAAGCGGAGGAAAAGAAACCAACUGGGAUUGCCUCAGUAACGGCGAGUGAAGCGGCAAAAGCUCAAAUUUGAAAUCUGACUUCCAACGGGGGUCCGAGUUGUAAUUUGCAGAGGAUGCUUCGGGUGCGACCGCGGCGCAAGUCCCUUGGAACAGGGCGUCGCAGAGGGUGAGAAUCCCGUCUCGAGUCGCUGGUUCGCGCCCGUGUGAAGCUCCUUCGACGAGUCGAGUUGUUUGGGAAUGCAGCUCUAAGCGGGUGGUAAAUUUCAUCUAAAGCUAAAUAUUGGCCGGAGACCGAUAGCGCACAAGUAGAGUGAUCGAAAGGUUAAAAGCACCUUGAAAAGGGAGUUAAAUAGCACGUGAAAUUGUUGAAAGGGAAGCGCUUGCGACCAGACUCGGGGGCGGGGGUUCAGCGGCCAUCCGUGGCCGUGUACUCCCCCGUGUCCCGGGCCAGCAUCGGUUCGCGCGGCCGGUCAAAGGUCCCCGGAAUGUGUCGUCUCUCGGGACGUCUUAUAGCCGGGGGCGCAAUGCGGCCAGCGUGGACCGAGGAACGCGCUUCGGCUCGGAUGCUGGCGUAAUGGUCGUAAGCGACCCGUCUUGAAACACGG
Molecule: ribosomal RNA, 874 nt
Filed under: Neoarthropsis hispanica
Lineage: Eukaryota; Fungi; Ascomycota; Eurotiomycetes; Onygenales; Neoarthropsidaceae
Description: eukaryotic LSU rRNA
Rfam family: Eukaryotic large subunit ribosomal RNA (bases 223-874)
Source: RNAcentral